AAAAAAAGAAAAGAAAAAGAAAAUACACGGCGUAAAAAUGGCGGAUGUCUCUCUCAUACAGAUUCAAAGUCAUUUUACUUUUUCUACUUUUCU
RNAcentral lists this non-coding RNA (93 nucleotides) under Foraminifera environmental sample. Lineage: Eukaryota; Foraminifera. The record is from RNAcentral.